AUUGAACGCUGGCGGCAGGCCUAACACAUGCAAGUCGAGCGAGCGGCGGACGGGUGAGUAAUGUAUGGGGACUGCCCGAUAGAGGGGGAUAACUACUGGAAACGGUGGCUAAUACCGCAUACACUCGGAUUACCACUAUGGGAUUAGCUAGUAGGUGGGGUAAAGGCGUACAUAGGCGACGAGCUCUAGCUGGUCUGAGAGGAUGAUGCGCCAUACGGGGACUGAGAAACGGCCCAGAUUCCUACGGAGGAGGCAGUGGGGAAGUGUGCACAAUGGGCGCAAGCCUGAUGGGGCCAUGCCGCGUGGUUGAAGAAGGCCUUAGGGUUGUAAAGUACUUUCAGCGGGGAGGCGUUACCCGCAGAAGAAGCACCGGCUAACUCCGUGCCAGCAGCCGCGGUAAUUC
This 403-nucleotide ribosomal RNA is filed under the name uncultured bacterium. Its description in RNAcentral is "partial 16S ribosomal RNA". It matches the Rfam family "Bacterial small subunit ribosomal RNA", at positions 29 to 526 of the family's 1533-position model. The record is from RNAcentral.